Molecule: ribosomal RNA, 571 nt
Filed under: uncultured bacterium
Lineage: Bacteria
Description: partial 16S ribosomal RNA
Rfam family: Bacterial small subunit ribosomal RNA
Source: RNAcentral
UGGGGAAUAUUGCACAAUGGGCGCAAGCCUGAUGCAGCCAUGCCGCGUGUGUGAAGAAGGCCUUCGGGUUGUAAAGCACUUUCAGCGAGGAGGAAGGUGGUGAGCUUAAUACGCUCAUCAAUUGACGUUACUCGCAGAAGAAGCACCGGCUAACUCCGUGCCAGCAGCCGCGGUAAUACGGAGGGUGCAAGCGUUAAUCGGAAUUACUGGGCGUAAAGCGCACGCAGGCGGUUUGUUAAGUCAGAUGUGAAAUCCCCGGGCUCAACCUGGGAACUGCAUUUGAAACUGGCAAGCUAGAGUCUCGUAGAGGGGGGUAGAAUUCCAGGUGUAGCGGUGAAAUGCGUAGAGAUCUGGAGGAAUACCGGUGGCGAAGGCGGCCCCCCUGGACGAAGACUGACGCUCAGGUGCGAAAGCGUGGGGCAGCAAACAGGAUUAGAUACCCUGGUAGUCCAGCGCUGUAAAACGAUGUCGAUUUGGAGGUUGUGCCCUUGAGGCGUGGCUUCCGGAGCUAACGCGUUAAAUCGACCGCCUGGGGGAGUACGGCCGCAAGGUUAAAACUUAAAUGAAUUGC